Small nucleolar RNA from Osmerus eperlanus (European smelt), 134 nucleotides. RefSeq annotates it as small nucleolar RNA SNORA70. The transcript has a single exon. Lineage: Eukaryota; Metazoa; Chordata; Actinopteri; Osmeriformes; Osmeridae. The record is from RefSeq and is a predicted model, not a curated record.
CUGCCGCUUACUAAGCCGACCUGUUUCGCUGCAGUGCGGUUCUGGUGUGCAAUGGUGGCAGACAUUGAAUCUCUGGUUUGUGUAUGAACUCAGCUGGGAGGUGCUGAGUGCUUUAAGGGACCAUUGAGACAACG